UCCUGUUAACUCUUAAUAAACUUACACAUGCAAGCAUCUACACCCCAGUGAGAAUGCCCUCUAGGUUAUUAAAACUAAGAGGAGCUGGCAUCAAGCACACACCCUGUAGCUCACGACGCCUUGCUUAACCACACCCCCACGGGAAACAGCAGUGACAAAAAUUAAGCCAUAAACGAAAGUUUGACUAAGUUAUAUUAAUUAGGGUUGGUAAAUCUCGUGCCAGCCACCGCGGUCAUACGAUUAACCCAAGCUAACAGGAGUACGGCGUAAAACGUGUUAAAGCACCAUACCAAAUAGGGUUAAAUUCUAACUAAGCUGUAAAAAGCCAUGAUUAAAAUAAAAAUAAAUGACGAAAGUGACCCUACAAUAGCCGACGCACUAUAGCUAAGACCCAAACUGGGAUUAGAUACCCCACUAUGCUUAGCCCUAAACACAGAUAUUACAUAAACAAAAUUAUUCGCCAGAGUACUACUAGCAACAGCUUAAAACUCAAAGGACUUGGCGGUGCUUUAUAUCUUCUAGAGGAGCCUGUUCUAUAAUCGAUAAACCC
This 550-nucleotide ribosomal RNA is filed under the name Bos taurus (domestic cattle). Its description in RNAcentral is "similar to 12S ribosomal RNA". It matches the Rfam family "Bacterial small subunit ribosomal RNA", at positions 158 to 961 of the family's 1533-position model. Lineage: Eukaryota; Metazoa; Chordata; Mammalia; Artiodactyla; Bovidae. The record is from RNAcentral.